RNAcentral lists this long non-coding RNA (456 nucleotides) under Mytilus galloprovincialis (Mediterranean mussel). Lineage: Eukaryota; Metazoa; Mollusca; Bivalvia; Mytilida; Mytilidae. The record is from RNAcentral.
CUUUAUUCAGUCUUCAACAAUAGACAAGAAAUUGUUAAGAUGCACAGCCAAUUGUUUUGAGAAUAUUAUAAUUCGGACUCUGUAAGGUGUUUUUCAAACAGAUUUCUUGAAAUUUACACGGGGAAUGAAACGUAAACGCUAGAAAUUGGCAUUAUGUUUUGCUGUUACACCACUGUGUUAGAUUACCGCAGCUCACUCACAUGUUUAACCCCGACAUAUUCUGUAUGGGCCUGCAGUGCAUUGGUUUUUCGAUGGUUUAUGUCUGUCAUAUUUGUUUUUCGGAUUUUUUUAUAUAUAGAAGACCGUUAAUUUUCUAUUUUGAAUUGUUUACAUUAUUUAUGUCGUGGCCUUUAAUAGCCUUUGUUGUAUUGGUUUUUAUCAUUGUUGAAAGCCAUAUGGUUAAUAAUUGCUCACUUUCAUUUUAUUUGAAAUCUUGUGUAUAGUUUCGAAAUUCUC